Molecule: long non-coding RNA, 828 nt
Organism: Balaenoptera musculus (blue whale)
Lineage: Eukaryota; Metazoa; Chordata; Mammalia; Artiodactyla; Balaenopteridae
Exons: 4
Source: RefSeq, a predicted model, not a curated record
UGGCAGGAAAGAUUCACUCGUUAUCACUUUUAUCAUCGUUUCGGAAGGCAAAUAUUUUUGUUUGGCAAUUCCACAAGGGUGCCUUCUGCAAGAUAAAAAAUUAAGGUGCCACAAGGAACAAAAACGCACACAGGACCAGAUGCACGCUACAGGCCACUGGGCACGUACAUUUUCACCUCCGUUGACCUGGGAGCCUGUGAGCCAUGUGCUGAAUAAUAACAAACGCAGAACAGUUCCAAGAGCCAGGCACUAUUUUAAGUGCCUUACGUAUACUCAUCCUUGACAACAAGCUCUUAAGGUCAGGAAAUGGAACCACCUGAGGCAAAAUAACUUGCCUGAGGGGAUGCAGCUAUGGUGACAGAGCUGGAUUUGAACACAGAAGUCUGAUAAACCUCCUAUCAUGUAUCUCUCCCAGAGAAGGUAGCCAAAUCAUGCUGCUUCUCUGGACUUCCUCCACCACCUGCCGGGGUACAGGUCCCAGAGUGCUUCCUUAGAGUUGAACCAAGAGUGCUGACAGCGGCUUUAAUGGUUGUUAGUGGGGCUGAAUGAAAGGAUGUCUAUUGGAUGUUUGCACAGAGUUGCUGCUCAGUGAAAAAGAAAAAGAGAAAAAAGUUCUUGAGCUACAGUGAGACACCCAAAGAGAUGUUAAACAAAAUUCAUGAUUUGUUAAAAUUCCGUAGCAAAACUGGAAGUUUCCAAAACUAGAAUUUCUUUGCCUCAUUAAACUAUGGCUUUCUUCUUUUUAUUCUCCUCAGUAUGAAUUACCUUAUGAGUUUUCUGAUCCCUAAAGUAAAAAAAUAAAAAAAGUUUAUUGUAAAAAAAAAAAAA